Molecule: unclassified non-coding RNA, 339 nt
Filed under: soil metagenome
Description: partial contains 5.8S ribosomal RNA, internal transcribed spacer 2, and large subunit ribosomal RNA
Rfam family: 5.8S ribosomal RNA (bases 1-120)
Source: RNAcentral
GAUGAAGAACGUAGCGAAAUGCGAUAAGUAAUGUGAAUUGCAGAAUUCAGUGAAUCAUCGAAUCUUUGAACGCACAUUGCGCCCGCCAGCACUCUGGCGGGCAUGCCUGUUCGAGCGUCAUUUCAACCAUCAAGCCCCCAGGGGCUUGUGUUGGGGACCUGCGGCUGCCGCAGGCCCUGAAAAGCAGUGGCGGGCUCGCUGUCACACCGAGCGUAGUAGCAUACAUCUCGCUCUGGGCGUGCUGCGGGUUCCGGCCGUUAAACCACCUUCAUAACCCAAGGUUGACCUCGGAUCAGGUAGGAAGACCCGCUGAACUUAAGCAUAUCAAUAAGCGGAGGA